AGUGAACGCUGGCGGUAGGCCUAACACAUGCAAGUCGAAGGGCAGCACAGUAAGAGCUUGCUCUUACGGGUGGCGAGUGGCGGACGGGUGAGGAAUACAUCGGAAUCUACUUUUUCGUGGGGGGUAACGUAGGGAAACUUACGCUAAUACCGCAUACGACCUACGGGUGAAAGCAGGGGAUCUUCGGACCUUGCGCGAUUGAAUGAGCCGAUGCCGGAUUAGCUAGUUGGCGGGGUAAAGGCCCACCAAGGCGACGAUCCGUAGCUGGGCUGAGAGGCAGACCAGCCACACUGGAACUGAGACACGGUCCAGACUCCUACGGGAGGAAGCAAGCGGGAAUAUUGGACAAUGGGCGCAAGCCUGAUCCAGACAUACCGCGUGGGUGAAGAAGGCCGUCGGGUUGUAAAGCCCUUUUGUUGGGAAAGAAAAGCGGCAGGUUAACACCCCGCUCUUCUGACGGUACCCAAAGAAUAGGCACCGGCUAACUUCGUG
Molecule: ribosomal RNA, 492 nt
Filed under: uncultured bacterium
Lineage: Bacteria
Description: partial 16S ribosomal RNA
Rfam family: Bacterial small subunit ribosomal RNA
Source: RNAcentral